Long non-coding RNA from Balaenoptera acutorostrata (minke whale), 1124 nucleotides. RefSeq lists it as uncharacterized. The record is from RefSeq and is a predicted model, not a curated record. Lineage: Eukaryota; Metazoa; Chordata; Mammalia; Artiodactyla; Balaenopteridae. The transcript is spliced from 4 exons.
AUCACGGGACGCUGGCAGUGGCGGGCUGCACAGGCUCCCGGGAGGGGCGGUGUGGAGAGUGACCUGUGCUCGCACACAGGCUUCUUGGUGGCGGCAGCAGCAGCCUUAGUGUCUCCUGCCCGUCUCUGGGGUCCCCGCUGUUAGCCACGGCUCGCGCCCUUCUCUGGAGCUCGUUUAGGCGGUGCUCUGCAUUCCCUCUCCUCGCGCACCCGGAAACAAUGGUCUCUUGCCUCUCUGGUGUUUGCUGUGAGGAUACUCAGUGGUCUUGAUGAGAGUAGAGUGCCAAAGAAAGUUUAGGAACCUGUGUCUGUCAACCCGCUCCAGCCAACAGUACAGUUCCAACUGUCACAGUACUCCCAUGGAAAUCUGGAUAUAAGUGCUUAAAGGUAUUAAUUCCUAAUAAAUAUUUUGCACCUCAACUCUGUCUCAAUAUCUGCUUCUGGAAAAGCCUACCAGCAACACUCUUCUUCAGAUCUUUGGAAGCCUGAGAGACAAGCCAUAUGAAGAGAAGGGCUCUCCUUUUACCCCUGGGGUCACAGUUACUGGAAAGCCAAGCCUCUAGAAUACAUUAUACUUAAUCUUUGCCUUGGAACUCUCUGAAAAUAAACUCUCAUUUGACACAGAGAAGUGACAGACUUGCAUCUACUUUCUCUAUGAAGAUUCCUGCAGGGCCUGAAGCCUUACUUGUUCUGCCAAGGACCUGCUGGACUGGUGACUUUAGCUGCUGCUCAACCUAGGAGAGGAGAAUGCACUGAAAUUAAAAUUGGAGAAGAGAAAGGAUGCUUUCAGACUGAAAUAGUCCCAGCCUCCCCUCCUAAAUGUUUAGGCUACUUAAAAUUAUUUCUCUAGUUUCAUGAGCAGAUUUUUUUUAAGACACUGAACUUUGUUUUGAAGUGUAAAUGCAUACAAAAAAGUAUACACAGUACACAGUCACAUUGUUCAGUUCCAUACAUUUCAUAGGAUGAACACACUCAACUAAUUGUCAUUCAGAUCAAGAAAAGAAUAUUACCAACAUCCCAAAAGCCCCAUUUGUACAUGCAUUCAGUUACCAUUCUUUAUCAUGUAAACAAUAUCUGGACAUCUAACAAUAUAGUUUGCUUGCUUUGGAAAUGUAUAUAAAUAAA